UGGCUUUGUUCUCAGUUAAACUUAUCUAACUUUUGAUCAAGUUUCUAGAAAAAAUAUAUUAGCAUCUACAACUUCAAAUAAAUGCACUUUCAAAUUAUAUUCCAUGUAAACUUUGAUGAAACAAAUUUGAUAUUGUAGAUGUUUUUGUGUUUUCUACAAACUUGGUCAAAGUUAAAGAAGUUUGACUUAGAACAAACCCAA
Molecule: microRNA precursor, 201 nt
Filed under: Sorghum bicolor (sorghum)
Lineage: Eukaryota; Viridiplantae; Streptophyta; Magnoliopsida; Poales; Poaceae
Description: MIR1435 microRNA precursor family
Rfam family: MIR1435 microRNA precursor family
Source: Rfam by way of RNAcentral